UUUUUGCUGACGACCGGCGCACGGGUGCGUAACGCGUAUGCAAUCUACCUUAUACUGGAGGAUAGCCCAGAGAAAUUUGGAUUAAUACUUCAUAGUAUGUUUACCUCGCAUGGGGAAAACAUUAAAGGUUACGGUAUAAGAUGAGCAUGCGUCCUAUUAGCUAGAUGGUGUGGUAACGGCACACCAUGGCAACGAUAGGUAGGGGCCCUGAGAGGGGGAUCCCCCACACUGGUACUGAGACACGGACCAGACUCCUACGGGAGGCAGCAGUGAGGAAUAUUGGACAAUGGAGGCAACUCUGAUCCAGCCAUGCCGCGUGCAGGAAGACUGCCCUAUGGGUUGUAAACUGCUUUUAUACGGGAAGAAACGGCUCUACGUGUAGAGCUUUGACGGUACCGUAAGAAUAAGGAUCGGCUAACUCCGUGCCAGCAGCCGCGGUAAUACGGAGGAUCCAAGCGUUAUCCGGAAUCAUUGGGUUUAAAGGGUCCGUAGGUGGAUAAUUAAGUCAGAGGUGAAAGUCUGCGGCUCAACCGUAGAAUUGCCUUUGAUACUGGUUAUCUUGAAUUAUUAUGAAGUAGUUAGAAUAUGUAGUGUAGCGGUGAAAUGCAUAGAUAUUACAUAGAAUACCAAUUGCGAAGGCAGAUUACUAAUAAUAUAUUGACACUGAUGGACGAAAGCGUGGGGAGCGAACGGGAUUAGAUACCCCGGUAGUCCACGCCGUAAACGAUGGAUACUAGCUGUU
This 742-nucleotide ribosomal RNA is filed under the name Gaetbulibacter sp. Its description in RNAcentral is "bacterial SSU rRNA". It matches the Rfam family "Bacterial small subunit ribosomal RNA", at positions 82 to 824 of the family's 1533-position model. The record is from RNAcentral. Lineage: Bacteria; Pseudomonadati; Bacteroidota; Flavobacteriia; Flavobacteriales; Flavobacteriaceae.